GGGCUGGCAUUGAAAACUGACCUCCCUGCGCAUGUUCAAAUAAUCGGAGCUGGUCAGCGUCAGCGUUCGUGGUGCUGGCCAAUAGAAAGCUAGCUAGCUCUGAAGACGAACUGAACUGCAGUGGUUACUGAUCAGUGAAGCAGUUGGAAUAACGAUUGGCCAUUUGACUUAUAUGUUCUUCUCAUUCCUACAGCUGAUGGUGAACUGGAUGAACAAAUUAAACAGAUUCUCAGAAAUCGUUCUAGAGAAGAUCUAUCAGAAGUACCAACCACAGAACCCUCUGUGUCACCUUCAGCUGUGCCCGAAGUAAAUAUCGAAGCGGAGUCUGUAGACACGGAAGCGGCGAAGAAGGAGCAAGAAAUAGCUGAAGAUCUAUUGAAGGACAUCAACAGCAUGUUAAAUGACUUCUCCACUGAGUUAGACUCCAUGUUCGAAUGAAUGGAGAGUUGGAUUGGAUCAAACCACGGUAAAAGUAACUGUAACGAUCGCCUGGAUGAAAUAAGUUAACGAGCUGUAACCUCUACGCAAACAUGGCAAUGGACAUGCUUUAUGACUGGGCGAUGUUUACCACAAUGGUGUUAUUGGUCAAGACGCUAUCACGUGACUUAAAAGGAAAAGAGGAGAAUCAGAUGAGACAAGACCAGUCUCCCCUCUGCCCCGCUUAGCCUGCAUAUUUACGUCUAAAGGCGCCACACCUUUGAGGGCUUUUGGCAUGUUUGUGUUGGUUUUCUAAAAUUUCGAGCCAAUCAAAGAAUCGUUAUCUGCAAGUACAACUUCCGGACAACUUUUUGUUGGUUUUCCAAACUUUUCGGUCAGUAGCUUGCGGUUACUUUGCUUACCCUGCCUUCAUUGACUAACUUACCUUUUGAUUGGCUUAGCAAUGGAAAACCAACAUAAAGAUGUCACACAGGAAUCAAAAGGUCAUUGAUCGACUGCAGCAUCGCGUAUUCAAUGUAAUUCUCAUUUUCAAGCAGAUUGGAAUGAAAUUGGAGCAGGCUUAAUUCACGAUUACAAGGUAAAGUUUUGAACAUUUUUUAACACAAUUCAAAUAGUGGAGAGAAAUAUCAAAUAAUUUUAGGUAUGAUAUACUGUCCCGUGCAGAGUUUGUACGCUAGUUAUGUGUAAAUUUUUUUUAUCUUUCAUAGAACUUUUUAUAAUAUCUCAGUGGUUCCGAGAUAUCUUAACUGGGGGCAAUUAUAUUUAUUUUGUAUUACUUUUAAUCUUUGAAACGUUUUUAUGGGGCAUUUAUUUUAAGCCUGCCAUUCUUUCACAUCAGCAAGUGUCUUUUUUUGCUAAAUUCUUAGAAUCAUCCACAUAUUAUCCAGUCAGAAAAAUAGGACAAGGGCGAUAAUUCAUGGUCCUUAGCAACGAAUGGCUUUGCUUGGCAACGUUUUGACGAAAAACCGCGGGAUCUUUAAAGAAGCUUGCUGCCUCGAAGAAUCAUAGAAUAUUUAUUUUCUUAAAACAAGUAACGUUUCAGUUCUUUGCUGAAACCUUAAGUUUUGCGGUCAAAAUUCGAUUUAAAUUUUGAUUUUCCUUGCAGAAUUGCGACUUUUUAGGUAAAUUCCAUUUACUAUCUUAGGAACACUGAUGGUUUUGUCCGUUUUAGGGCUUAGCUGCUUGUAUGUCGGCAUUAAGAGUCGAUUGUUUAUUAGGGUUCAGUGUUGCAGGAAAAUUAUAUUCACCGAUCUGACGAUAGAAUAGCGUAUGAAUUAGAUUGCUUUUUACGAUUUGAAUUUCCAGUUCUGGAGAAAAAUUAGAAAUUGAUGUAAUCAUUUUGGAAUACAUAGAGGAGCCUUGUUAUAUGUCAUAAAUAGUAUAUAUCAAUUGCUGAAGACAGCCAUGAAAUUCAGUGUAAAAUGACUUACUAUUACUCUUGUAUAUAGCUAUAUUUUCUUUAUUCUAACGAACAAAUAAACAUAUAUUUAAAUAGA
Molecule: long non-coding RNA, 1934 nt
Organism: Orbicella faveolata
Lineage: Eukaryota; Metazoa; Cnidaria; Anthozoa; Scleractinia; Merulinidae
Source: RefSeq, a predicted model, not a curated record